Long non-coding RNA from Callithrix jacchus (white-tufted-ear marmoset), 1740 nucleotides. The record is from Ensembl. Lineage: Eukaryota; Metazoa; Chordata; Mammalia; Primates; Cebidae.
CAUCUGGCCUCUCCACACAGGCUCCCCACACCCAUUUCCGCAUUCCAAUCUCAGUCCUGCACUCAUCAGCAAACUAGGCACUUGGCCUGCCGGAAUUUAAAAAAUUCCCUCUGAGAAUUGCCCUAUUGCAGCUUGCCCCAUACGUCCUCAGCCAGCCCACUUGCCAGCAGCCCCACCUGGCUGCCAAUGGCGGUUCGCCUCGUCCAUGCCCAGUCCCUUCAUAACCAAUGAGACUACCUCCGCUUUGUUUCCCCCACAGCCUAUCAACUACCUCCACUCCCUAUACAACCCCAUGCCCUAAGAAGAGAAGCGUGACUUCUCUGGCCCCUUUCCCGGACCAUAGAACCUCACCUGGGAGCUGAAUAAAUUGGCUUUUACUUUUUUACUCCGAUCUCCAUUUCCUCCUGUAACUUGGCAAUAAACCUUACAUCUGGUGCCAAAACCCUGCCAGACCAGGAGCCUCUCGCCCCGAGAUACCUUUUCUGGAUGGAUUGAGGCCUUCCCUGCCCCCAAGGAAACUGCAGACAUGGUGGCCUCCCUCUUAAUUCGGGAAAUCAUUCCUCGCUUCGGCCUGCCUGUAACCAUCCAGUCAGACAACGGCCCAGCAUUCACUGCUCGAGUAGUCCAGCUGGUUGCUGAGACCCUAAGUAUCUCUUGGAAGCUACACAUCCCGUACCAUCCUAAGUGGUUGGUGGCUGCUGGUAUAGGAGGCGGAGCAAUGGGCUACAGCGUUACUUCAGCAGCUCAGCUAGAAGACAAGCUCCAUGUAGCUAUUGAAGCUUCAGCUCCCUCUCUGGCAUCCCUUCAAGGACAAAUCACGUUGCUAGCUCAGUUAACUCCAAAACCGGCAGGCCCUAGACCUGCUGACGACGGAGAAAGGAGGUAAGUGUUUAUUUCUUCAGGAGCACUGUUGCUAUUACGUCAAUGAAACAGGCCAAGUGGAGGAAAAUGUCAACACUCUCUAUCGCCUCCAAGAAGACCUCCUAAGAAAACAAAACGCACCAGCCUCCUCUCUUAACUGGUGACAGUUCCCUGUGUUCACCUGGCUAGUUCCCAUUAUCAUCCCCCUCAUCAUGGUUUGUCUUUUGCUAAUGUUAGCCCCGUUCUUUCUUUGGUUUUUACAAGCUCGCAUAAGAGAAAUCUCCAGGACAGCAGUAAACCAAAUGCUGCUUCACGCCUAUGUCUGACUCCCAACCGAGGCACCGGCCAACUGACCUCCCUACUCCACCCCUGUUCAGCAGGAAGUAACCAGAAAGAAGCAACAUCCUAUGUCAUCGAAAAGAUCGGAAUGUAAGGCCGGUUGCCUAGUCGGGGGCCAAAUGGACACACCCAUUCCUCUCCAUACCUGAAAACGACGUCAUCAUUCUGAGCACAUUACUCAGCAUCUGACCUCUCCACGUGGGCUCCCCACACCCAUUUCUGCAUUCCAAUCUCAGUCCUGCACUCAUUAGCAAACUAGGCACUCAGCCCGGCCGAAAUUUUAAAAAUCCCGCUGAGACCUGCCCUAUUGCAGCUUGCCCUUAUGUCCUCAGCCCCACAGCCCCGCCUGGCUGCCAAUGGCAGUUCGCCUCAUCUGUGCCCAAUCCCUUCAUAACCAAUGAGACUACCUCCUCUUCGUUUCCCCCACAGCCAAUCAAUUACCUCCAUUCUCUGUACAACCCCACGCCCUAAGAAGAGAAGCACUUCUCUGGCCCCUUUCCCCGACCAUAGAACCUCGUCUGGGAGCUGAAUAAAUUGGCU